AAGACUAUACUUUCAGGGAUCAUUUCUAUAGUUGGUGACUAGAGAAGUGUGUCCGAAAGUGAUCGGUCUCGCUAGCCACGAGGACGAGUCGUGGCGCCCUUCCCUGAGCGUGAGGCGGGCGGGCGGCGCUGCUGUGCGGUGCUGCCCGUCAUCGAUGACCGUUCCGCCCCUUUGGGGGUUGGAGGGGGAGGGCGCGGACUGAGUGGU
Alligator sinensis (Chinese alligator) is the source of this 207-nucleotide non-coding RNA. Lineage: Eukaryota; Metazoa; Chordata; Crocodylia; Alligatoridae. The record is from Rfam.